RNAcentral lists this long non-coding RNA (967 nucleotides) under Homo sapiens (human). Its description in RNAcentral is "non-protein coding lnc-CROCC-3:14". The record is from RNAcentral. Lineage: Eukaryota; Metazoa; Chordata; Mammalia; Primates; Hominidae.
CUGCCCGGCAGUGCUUCUCCUCCUGGUGAGCCUCCCUUGUGUUUGGGGACCCAGUCUCAUCCCACCUUCCCCUUUCCCCAGGCAAGCUAACAAGUGAGCCUUGGGGCAACGGACUGAGAGUCACAAAUGACCUAGCAGAGCUUCUCUCCCAGCCAUAUGCCUCUCACGGGCUAUGAGGUAUGGUUGGGCACCCUGUUCCAGAACCCACAACAUGGAGAGCCAGGCCUACAGCGGGUCCCAGUAGCCAAGAUGCUGUGUGGGCCCUCAGGCUCUCAGCUUGUCCUGCUCAAGCUGGAGAGGUAUGUGGACAACCUGGGAGGGUGUGAGGUGGGGCUGAGCCUUGUGGCCUCAGACCCUGAGUGCCCCCAUUCUUGCUAAAGAUCUGUGACCCUGAACCAGCGUGUGGCCCUGAUCUGCCUGCCGCCUGAAUGAUAUGUGGUGCCUCCAGGGACCAAGUGUGAGAUUGCAGGCCGGGGUGAGACCAAAGGUAAGAGCAUAGUGCACAGGACUGCUGGUGGCCAGGAGGCCCAGCCCUGGAUCUUCCUCCAGGACCGUCUCCUUCUCCCCAUUCCCCUCACUGCAGGUACGGGUAAUGACACAGUCCUAAAUGUGGCCUUGCUGAAUGUCAUCUCCAACCAGGAGUGUAACAUCAAGCACCGAGGACAUGUGCGGGAGAGCGAGAUGUGCACUGAGGGACUGUUGGCCCCUGUGGGGGCCUGUGAGGGUGACUACGGGGGCCCACUUGCCUGCUUUACCCACAACUGCUGGGUCCUGAAAGGAAUUAGAAUCCCCAACCGAGUAUGCGCAAGGUCGCGCUGGCCAGCCGUCUUCACGCGUGUCUCUGUGUUUGUGGACUGGAUUCACAAGGUCAUGAGACUGGGUUAGGCCCAGCCUUGACGCCAUAUGCUUUGGGGAGGACAAAACUUGUAAGUACAGUCAAGGACAAGACUUGUACUCAAGGCUGAGA